ACCGGCGGCUCGAGUGGUGGCAACUAUUACUGGGCUUAAAGCGUUCGUAGCUGGCUUGUUAAAUGUAUGGGGAAAUCUUCCGGCUCAAACGGCAGGCGUCUCAGGGAUAAUGGCAGGCUAGGAACCGGAAGAGGUGAGAGGUACUCCAGGGGUAGGAGUGAAAUCCUGUAAUCCUUGGGGGACCACCUGUGGCGAAGGCGUCUCACCAGGACGGCUCCGACAGUGAGGAACGAAAGCUGGGGGAGCAAACCG
This 252-nucleotide ribosomal RNA is filed under the name uncultured prokaryote. Its description in RNAcentral is "partial 16S rRNA". It matches the Rfam family "Archaeal small subunit ribosomal RNA", at positions 475 to 726 of the family's 1478-position model. The record is from RNAcentral.